Calidris pugnax (ruff) is the source of this 4990-nucleotide RNA transcript. It is a transcript of the gene named oligophrenin 1, with no coding region annotated. NCBI's taxonomy places the organism in Eukaryota, Metazoa, Chordata, Aves, Charadriiformes, Scolopacidae. The transcript is spliced from 24 exons. The record is from RefSeq and is a predicted model, not a curated record.
AUGGGGCACCCGCCGCUGGAGUUCAGCGACUGCUACCUGGACAGCCCCGACUUCCGAGAGCGGCUCAAGUGCUACGAGCAGGAGCUGGAACGGACCAACAAGUUCAUUAAGGAGGUCAUUAAGGACGGCAACGCGCUCAUCGCCGCCAUACGGGGUUACUCGUCGGCAGUACAGAAAUUCUCCCAGACUUUGCAGUCCUUUCAGUUCGACUUCAUUGGUGACACACUAACGGACGAUGAGAUCAAUAUUGCCGAGUCCUUUAAGGAGUUUGCAGAGCUGCUCCACGAGGUAGAGCUGGAGAGGUCCAUGAUGGUGCAGAAUGCUAGUGAUUUGCUGAUCAAACCUUUGGAAAACUUUCGGAAGGAGCAAAUAGGGUUCACCAAGGAAAGAAAGAAAAAGUUUGAGAAGGAUGGUGAGAAGUUUUAUUCUAUGCUGGAUCGCCAUUUGCAUUUGUCUUCCAAAAAGAAGGAAUCCCAAUUACAGGAGGCUGACCUUCAGGUUGACAAAGAGAGACACAAUUUCUUUGAGUCCUCCCUGGAGUAUGUGUACCAGAUCCAGGAAGUACAAGAAAGCAAGAAAUUCAGUAUUGUUGAACCGGUGCUGGCUUUUCUCCACAGCCUCUUUACUUACAACAACCUGACAGUUGAGCUCACGCAGGAUUUCCUCCCUUAUAAACAGCAGCUUCAGCUCAGCCUCCAGAAUACAAGGAAUCACUUCUCCAGCACGCGGGAGGAGCUGGAAGACCUGAAGAAGAGGAUGAAGGAAGCUCCCCUGACCUGCAAGCUACCUGGGCAGCCGACCAUUGAGGGCUAUCUGUACACUCAGGAGAAAUGGGCGCUGGGCAUCUCCUGGGUGAAAUACUACUGCCAGUAUGAAAAGGAGGCAAAAACCUUGCGGAUGACGCCCACGGACCAGAAGCCUGGAGCUAAGCAAGGCACCUUAGACCUGACCCUGAAAUCCUGUGUAAGGAGAAAGACGGACUCUAUAGACAAAAGGUUCUGUUUUGACAUUGAAACUAAUGAAAGGUCUGGGACCAUCACACUGCAGGCCCUCUCGGAGGCCAAUCGAAGGCUGUGGAUGGAAGCCAUGGACGGGAAGGAGCCGAUCUACCACAGUCCCAUCACAAAACAGGAAGAAAUGGAGCUGAACGAGGUCGGCUUCAAGUUUGUACGGAAGUGCAUCAACGCGGUGGAAACGAAAGGGAUUACUACGGAGGGCAUCUACCGGACCGUGGGCAGCAAUAUUCAGGUGCAGAAGUUGCUGAACGCCUUUUUUGAUCCAAAGUGUCCAGGGGACGUGGAUCUCCAAAGCGGCGAUUGGGACAUCAAGACGAUUACCAGCUCACUGAAGUUUUAUCUCAGGAACCUGUCUGAACCCGUCAUGACCUACAAGCUCCACAAAGAGUUGGUCCUGGCUGCCAAAUCUGAGAACCUGGAUUACAGGCUGGGAGCCAUUCACGCUCUGGUCUAUAAACUACCUGAGAAGAACAGAGAGAUGUUAGAGCUCCUCAUACAACACCUCGUCAACAUAUGUGAGCACAGCCGAGAGAAUCUGAUGUCACCGUCUAACAUGGGGGUGAUAUUUGGCCCUACCCUCAUGCGAGCACAGGAGGACACCGUGGCAGCGAUGAUGAACAUCAAGUUCCAAAACAUAGUGGUUGAGAUCCUCAUCGAGCACUUUGGGAAGAUCUACUCUGGACCCCCAGAAGACACCACGCCCCCCCCGGUGCCUCCUCCCAGGGUGGCUGCCCGGCGGCACAAACCCAUCACCAUUUCCAAACGUCCUCUGAGGGAAAGACCCGUCUUCUUCGGUGCUUCUGUGGAAGACAGUGGAGCAGAUCGGCACGGCCAGACCCCCAAUGGCAGCAACAGUGUGGGCAUGGAGGCCCCCAAACCCCUGCACCGCAGCCGCCUGCCCGCACCCCGACUGGGGGGGGACGAUCCAGGGCGUCCCCCCACCGAGGGCCGGCCGGACCCACGCGCCGAGUUGGAGGUGGGGAAGCUGGUGGCCAGGCUGCAGGAUGGAGGGGCGAAGCCGGCCACCAAGGCUGCCAACGGGGUGGUGACCAGCCCUGCCCUGAGGACCUCCACGCUCCAGGCCAGGAGACCGGCUCCGCGGCCGGGGAUCUACGGCAGAGAGGGCGAGUACGAUGGUGUCCCUAAGCCCCGAGCCCAUGGCGAUAAACCCGUGAUAAUGCGCCCCCCCGUGAGACCUCCGGACCCACCAUGCAGGACUCCUGUCCCUCCAAAACUGGAGCAGAGGCCAGAUCUGAUAGCAGGGACAGCAGAAGAGAUGCCUUCAUCUGUAGUGGCCUCUAGGACAAAGUUCUUUGAGACAGCUUCCCGAAGAACAAGCAAGUAAGCCUGGCACUGGGAAGUUGGCAUUUAAAUGUGUAGGGUGCUUCCUCUGAAGCAGAUUCUUCAUCACCACAAGGCAGGAUCCCAGGUGAUGAGAGCUGAGGCUAAAGACUUUGUAACCACCUCAGCCCAGCUAAACCCAGGAGAUUUUCUGCGCUGGUGAAACGACGUGUCACAGCUAAGACUUUCCCAGUUCCAGUGCCCCUGGAGAGCAGCUAUCUUACCGGACGAUAAUUUCAGAGCACGCUGUCACAAGUGGCUCAAGAAAUUAGAGGGGAGGGAGAUGAUGGACAGAAGACCCUACCCACACCUUUGUGUUGAACUGUUCCUGGUCCUUCCACCACUCUGCGCAGGCUGUGGGGGAUGCUCCUGUGUGUCCUGGCAGGCGACCAGCUGGGUGAGCACCGACGGGCUGUGGAAGGGACAGCAGAGGAUGGGAGUCACCAUUGACCUGCUCACUUUUUGGGAGAUGCACCUUGAUGAGGGUGAGCUUGGACAGACAUUGGAGUCAAAAAUGCAAGGGGCUGACUCCCCGUGCUUGGAUGCAAGGGCAGAGUGACUGGACUUUGGGUUGGCCCACCCCUUGCCGUAAGAAGCUCCUUACUUUAUGUUAUGUUUUCUUGCUCAGUUAAGCUAUAGUGUGUUUUUCAGUUUGUAGGAGAGCAGUGUGUGUUACUGGAAACACUGCUUGUGCUAAGGCAGGCGGGACAGGAAUCGGGGGGGCCAUUGCACUUAGUUCUGUCUCUUCCUUUUCCCCCUGGCAUAAACAUUCUCCUGUCCUGGGAAACCACGCUGGCAGACAUGGCUGUGCCAGGCAACAUCCCCUGCCUGUGGGUCGGCUUUCUGGACAGCCCUGGUCUUGUCAGCAGCCUCCAAGAAGCUUGGAGAAGGAGGUGGCAGGCUCUCCUCCUCCUCCUCUGCCUCCUCCUCCUCCCACAUGAGCCACUCUCCCACCACUCUUCCCACAGGCCCACCAAGAAGUCUUUGUCCUGGGGUUAUUCUGGUGGAGCAGCACAGAAGUGGUGAGGAACUGAAACUCGCUGAAUAUGGGCCAAAUCCCACUAUUUUUCUAAGAGGCGCCCCAUUUCUCGUUUGCUUGUUCCAUUAAUUUCCAAUCCAAGAGGUGUCCAACUCUUUUCCUCAGCAGCAGCCGCUUAGAUGAUGCCCUUUAUUCUGGACAGUUUCUCCAUGCCAGGACCACCCCUCGUGCUCCUCUUAACAGUAGAGGCUUAUUUGUGGGACCAGCUGACACCAGGGCUGGAGCAUUUACCUGUAAAUAGGCAACGUGCAGCUUUCCUUCUUCCUCUCCCCAGCCCAAAGGCAGCUUCCCACAUUUUGAAUGAUUUUCCUCGGGUGCUGGGAGCAUUUUCCCAAACCAGUGGCUCGACCAUCCCCAAUAGCUGCUUCCUGGGAGCUCCCCUCUUUCCAGCGUGCUUCGUGUCCUGCCCGGCGCAGGUUUGCUGGUGGGAUGCUGUCACCCAUCUUCCCCAGGCUGUCUCCAGACACUUGCCUCGUGUGUGCAUCUCUGCUUUAUUGCUGAAUGUAAUUCUGGCGUUGGCUGUUACACACACAGCGUCGUGUCAACGGUGCUCCCGCUCCCUCGGGCUUUGGCGGUGCCCCAGCUGCUGCCCCCCCUCCCCCACAGUGGCAGGUAAAAGUGGCUUUAAAAACAAAAAAAAAUACAAACAAAGCAGUGCUGUUGCCGCUUAGACUGUGUUACGCACACUGGCAUCUCAGGGCUUUGGAAAGCUACGGUGAGCCCUUUCUGCUGCACCUUCUUGUGAGCAUCUGGGAGGUGUGAGCAGCACAUCGUGUUUUUCUCAUCAUGGGGGGAGCAAAGCUGUGAGCCAGCCAGUCUGAAGGAGGGAGAGAGGUGCCCUGACCAGCCCAGAAGGGCUGUGAUUGAUUGCUGGGGAAGCCUCUCCAUCAGCCAGGCAAUGGAGGCCACUGAUCUCCUUCUGGCAGGUACUGGCCGGUCCUUUGGUGGCUUUGUCACCUCUUGGGGUGGCUGUCCCAGAGGUGUGAGACCAGGGCUUCCUCCACAGAAAGCCAACGUUUCCCAAAAUGCCUUCCCCUCUCUGGGCUGUGCGUUGAAGACCCCUCGAGGCUGUUGGUUUGGGAAGCAACCAGCUUCCACGGACACGGGUGGCUCUGGUGGUGGCACCCCUUGUGCUGUGCAGUGCCUGGUCCCCGUCCCAUUGGACUGGGUGGCUGUUGCACCCCCUACACCCCUCCUCUACAGUCAGCCUCACGGUCCUGGGGGAUGGAGCUGGGGUCCGUGGGAAGAGAGAAACCCGAGGGAGUUUGGUUUAAAGUUUGACAUCGUGAACAAUGGAAGGAAGCAGUUUAUUAGAUACGUAUUUCAUUGUGUCCUUUUUUUUUUUAAGUCGUUUGUCAUAUGUGUAUCUGUGCUGGUUUUCCCCUCCUCCGUGCCGAACGCUGGGGACCAACAGUGGUGGUGGGAUGUUUGGCCCCUGCUGCCAGUGCCACUGGAGCCACACAGCUGGGAACACGGGAUGCUCCCCGUGCGGCACGGCGGGGCCCCCAGACAUCAGCCAUCAGAGCCGUUUUGUCACGUUAAAAGCAUAGAUUCCUUCAAGUGUUUAUAAAGUUUCCAUGAAGUUAAAAAAAAA